This is a non-coding RNA of Dermatophagoides farinae (American house dust mite), 440 nucleotides long. NCBI's taxonomy places the organism in Eukaryota, Metazoa, Arthropoda, Arachnida, Sarcoptiformes, Pyroglyphidae. The record is from RefSeq and is a predicted model, not a curated record.
AAAAUAAUUCACAAGUCUUUAUAUGUGUGUAUUGGGCGUUGUCAAUUCUUACACGAAUCGGAACCAAAUUAAUGUUUUUAUACUUCCCUACUUUACCCAGUUAUACAAUGGGUCAUUUAUCGUAUUGAAUCGUAUUUGGUUUUUUUUUUAAUUUACACAUAUCGUAAAUCGAAAUGGUUUUUUUUCAAAAUAAAAUGAAAAAAAAAAUCUAAAUGGCUCACACACUCACACGCAGAAUGGAUGACCAUUUGUCAGUGGUCCACUUAUAUAAAAGAAUUGUUGAUGUGAUUCUAUCAUCAUAAUCAUAAUCAUCAUCGUAUAUAUAUAUCGACACUCAAUUUAUUUAUGGCCAUUUGUUGAAGAAAUUAUUAUUAUCAUUAUAUUGAUCAAUGUUUAUAAAAUUGGAACAAUAAAUGACUACAAGUUUAUUCUUUAAAAAA